Molecule: ribosomal RNA, 876 nt
Filed under: uncultured eukaryote
Lineage: Eukaryota
Description: SSU rRNA
Rfam family: Eukaryotic small subunit ribosomal RNA
Source: RNAcentral
CGGUGUUCAACUGGCGUGUCCGCGGGACGUCCUGCCGGUGGGCUUAGCCCGCAAGGGCGGCCCAACUUCAAAUCCCAUCGCGGUGCUCUUCACUGAGUGUCGAGGUGGGCCGGCACGUUUACUUUGAACAAAUUAGAGUGCUUAAAGCAGGCUAAAACUUCGCCUGAAUACUGUGUGCAUGGAAUAAUGGAAUAGGACCUCGGUUCUAUUUUGUUGGUUUUCGGAACCCCGAGGUAAUGAUUAAUAGGAACGGAUGGGGGCAUUCGUAUUGCGACGUUAGAGGUGAAAUUCUUGGAUCGUCGCAAGACGGACAGAAGCGAAAGCAUUUGCCAAAAACGCUUUCAUUGAUCAAGAACGAAAGUUAGAGGUUCGAAGGCGAUCAGAUACCGCCCUAGUUCUAACCAUAAACGAUGCCAGCUAGCGAUCCGUCGACGUUCCUCCGAUGACUCGACGGGCAGCUUCCGGGAAACCAAAGCUUUUGGGUUCCGGGGGAAGUAUGGUUGCAAAGCUGAAACUUAAAGGAAUUGACGGAAGGGCACCACCAGGAGUGGAGCGUGCGGCUUAAUUUGACUCAACACGGGAAACCUCACCAGGCCCGGACACCGGAAGGAUUGACAGAUUGAGAGCUCUUUCUUGAUUCGGUGGGUGGUGGUGCAUGGCCGUUCUUAGUUGGUGGAGCGAUUUGUCUGGUUAAUUCCGAUAACGAACGAGACUCUAGCCUGCUAACUAGGCGUAUUUUCGACAUCUCAAAGGUCCGUCGUCCCGGCCCUCGGGUCGUGGGCGUGCGCGAUUUUUACUGUCGGCGUACUAUCAAUUCUUCUAGAGGGACAGGUGGCUUCUAGCCGCACGAGAUUGAGCAAUAACAGGUCUGUGAUG